Molecule: ribosomal RNA, 253 nt
Filed under: uncultured bacterium
Lineage: Bacteria
Description: partial 16S ribosomal RNA
Rfam family: Bacterial small subunit ribosomal RNA
Source: RNAcentral
GACAGAGGUCCCAAGCGUUAGGCGGAAUCACUGGGCUUAAAGCGUGUGUAGGCGGAUUUGUAAGUACCUUGUGAAAUCCCACGGCUCAACCGUGGAACUGCUUGGUAUACUGCUUAUCUUGGGUCAUCUAGGGGCGAGCGGAACAAACGGUGGAGCGGUGAAAUGCGUAGAUAUCGUUUGGAACGCCAAUGGUGAAAACAGCUCGCUGGGGAUGUACCGACGCUGAGACACGAAAGCCAGGGGAGCGAAUGGG